UCCAAUAGGAAUCUGUAUGCUUUCAAAC
Molecule: non-coding RNA, 28 nt
Filed under: Rattus norvegicus (Norway rat)
Lineage: Eukaryota; Metazoa; Chordata; Mammalia; Rodentia; Muridae
Source: RNAcentral